This 3213-nucleotide ribosomal RNA is filed under the name Candidatus Kerfeldbacteria bacterium. Its description in RNAcentral is "partial 23S ribosomal RNA". It matches the Rfam family "Bacterial large subunit ribosomal RNA", at positions 1 to 2085 of the family's 2925-position model. The record is from RNAcentral. Lineage: Bacteria; Candidatus Kerfeldiibacteriota.
GUCAGAACACUAAGGGCGUAUGGUGAAUGCCUCGACAUCAACAACCGACGAAGGACGUAGGAGCCUGCGAAAAGCCUCGGGAAGGUGGCAACCAACCUGUGAUCCGGGGAUGUCCGAAUGGGGUAACCCGGCAGCGAUUGAAUCCGCUGUCAUCCACAUCUGAAUAUAUAGGGUGUGUGAGGAGGACCAAGCGAACUGAAACAUCUUAGUAGCUUGAGGAAAAGAAAACAAUCCGUGUGACAGAUUUUGGAAGCAUCGGCAACGGUGCAUCCGGACAUCCGUCACACAUAUUCCCUGAGUAGUGGCGAGCGAAACGGGAAGAGCUCAAACUUUUAGAUCUGCUUCCGCAAGGGAGCAAGGUUCACAAGACCGCAUGUUCUGAGGGUGUUGCGAGUGAGUAACGUCUAAAGCUUGUCCUCGUGAAAACGGGGACCUGAAGAUCUGGAUACCGGAUCAAGUCCGGUAUCACCCUUCGGGUGACUUUAGGAGUAAAGCGCAUGUCUGACCACUCCCCCUGUCUCCCCCUCUCCUCCCCGCGAAAGCGGGGACCGAGGAGAGGGGGCCGGGGGGUGAGGUCACGACCAGUUCAUAGCCGAAGUGGCCUGGAACGGCCCGCCAAAGAGAGCGAUCGCCCCGUAGGCGAAAUGAACCCUCAAAAGCUUUACUGGUUAUUCGACUCGAGUAGCAUGAGACACGUGAAAUCUUGUGCGAAACCGGGAGGACUAGACUCCCAAAGCUAAAUAUUGUUGGUGAUCGAUAGUGAACAAGUACCGUGAGGGAAAGGUGAAAAGCACCCCGGUGAGGGGAAUGAAAUAGUAUCUGAAACCAUAUGCUUACAAGCAGUCGUAGUCCCCGCGCAAGCGGGGAUGUCGGCGUGCCUAUUGAAGAAUGAACCUACGAGUUGUUUCAACCUACAAAGAUUAAGGUCGAGUAGACCGAAGUCGCAGUGAAAGCGAGCCUUCAAUGGCGAUUGCUCUGAUUGAGCUGGUGUCCAAGCGCAAGUUUGGUCCCCUGCUCAUGACGAGAUAGUAGUUUGAAACAGACCCGAAGCCGGGUGAGCUACCCAUGACCAGGAUGAAGCGGCGGUAAAACGUCGUGGAGGUCCGAACCCGUGAGUCGUGCAACGCUCUGGGAUGAGUUGUGGGUAGAGGAGAAAUUCCAAUCGAACUCGGCGAUAGCUGGUUCUCCGCGAAAUAGUUUUUGGACUAGCGUUGGAUGUUUCACAUUGGUGGUAGAGCACUGAAUGGGAUCACGUGGAGCAAUCCUAGUGAUUCCAACCAAACUCCGAAUGCCAGUGUGCCAAGUCCAGCAGUCAGUCCGUGGGGGCUAAGCUCCACCGGACGUGAGGGGAAGAACCCAGAUCUCCAGUUAAGGUCCCAAAAUCGAUGCUCAGUGUUAAAAGGCAGUGUUGGGGCUCAAACAACCAGGAGGUUGGCUUAGAAGCAGCCAUCCUUUAAAGAAAGCGUAAUAGCUCACUGGUCGAGCCUUGGUGCGCCGAAAAUGUAUCGGGACUUAAGCAUCGUACCGAAGCUGAGGAAUGGAUCGUCAGUGAUGAUGAUCCUUUGGUAGCGGAGCGUUCUGUACGCGUCGAAGCGGGCCGCGCGAGCAACCGUGGAGUGUACAGAAGUGAGAAUGUAGGUAUAAGUAGCACAACAGCGGGUGAGAACCCCGCUCGCCGUAAAUCCAAGGUUUCCUGGGCAACGCAAAUCGUCCCAGGGUGAGUCGGGCCUAAGGUGAGGCCGAAAGGCGUAACUGAUGGACAGCAGGUUAAUAUUCCUGCACGACGACGUGAUUAUCCUUAUGAUGACGCAUGUAUUGAUUCCACUGGUUCUUUGGUUAUGGACCAUCCCGCCAAAAGGCGGGAGCAGAUUGGCUCGCGAGAGCCGACCAAUGUGGGAAAUGUAUGGGCCGAGAAAAGUCAUGAGGUUACGUCACGGCGUCUCCGUACCGGAAACCGACACAGGUGGAUGGGCAGCAAAUCUGCCAAGGCGUACGAGAGAACCCUCGUUUAGGAACUCGGCAAAACAGUGGUCGUACCUUCGGUAUAUGACCUACCCCACACCAAUCGGGGUGAUAAUGACUUUUUAAAGAAGCGAAAAUUCAAGGUCCGAAUUCGCUUUGAAGGAAAGAUACAUUGUCAAUCGAUUGGUGUGGGGUUGCAAUAAAUGACGUCAACCGACUGUUUACCAAAAACACAGGUCCCUGCGAAAGCGUAAGCUGAUGUAUAGGGGCUGAUGCCUGGCCAGUGUCAGAACGUUAAGGGGAGAGGUGCAAGCCUUGAUCCGAAGCGCUGAUGAACGCCGGCGAUAACUAUAAUCGUCCUAAGGUUUGCCACAUCAUGAAGAUGGUGUGGUGAAGGACUAGGACGGUUGUAUGAGGUAAAUAGUCCCACGAGUUCCAAAGAAAAUAAUGUAGCGUGCCAAUUCAUUGGCAUCAUACAUGUGCAGCGAAAGGAAUAGUAACUGCCUCGUUAUACAGUAAUGUAUAAAUGGUCCUGCUAAAUGAGAAUGAUUCUCGUUAGCGAAAACUUGUCCGACACAAUAUUGCCAAAAACAAUACUGGUCGGAUCCGCCAAAGUCCCGAGCAUAGUCGAGGGGCGACGGCGGAGCUAUAUCGGUGAAACCCCUUCGAUAAACUCAGGGCAACACCGAGGGAAGUCAAUCGAAACUGAGAGAAGGAUAGGGUGAAAUAGCUAGCUCGGAGCGUGAGUCUGGGCGAAGCUAACGAACUGUGAUGGGGAAACCCAGAACAACGUUUUCCGUCGUGCUGUCACACGGCAGAAUGGACGAGCAAUCGUCCCACCCUACUCCCCCGUUCCUCGGUCGAGCCAAAAACUCGACCCCUUCUCCCAGUUUCGAUUUGACCCCGUAACGACUAAACGCCAGAAGAACGGAAGUCAGAAAUCAGAAGUUGGAAGUCAGGUCGUUCAAACCGACCUCUGACCUCCAACAUCCGACCUCCGCUCUUAAGAUAUAGUCUGAUCUGCAUAGCAAUAUGCAGAGCGCAGCAGAAAUGACUGCGCCUCGCAACGAAUCAACGAAUUAACCAAUCAACGAGUUAACUCGUGUUGCGUAGCAACAAUCAGAGCGAAAUUCCUUGUCGGGUAAGUUCCGACCUGCACGAAUGGCAUAACGAGUUGACGACUCUCUCAACGAGGGACUCGGCGAAAUUACAAGACGAGUAAAGAUGCUCGUUACCCACAGUUAGACGAAA